This 514-nucleotide ribosomal RNA is filed under the name uncultured bacterium. RNAcentral describes it as "bacterial SSU rRNA". It matches the Rfam family "Bacterial small subunit ribosomal RNA", at positions 69 to 507 of the family's 1533-position model. The record is from RNAcentral.
AAAUCACGCAAAGAUGCAAUGGUAAGAGAGCAGAAGUUAAACAAGGUCAAUCGAAAGACAUUUAAUUGAAGAAUACAAGAUAGUAUAAAUCUUUGUGAAUAAAAUUGAGUGCGGGAUAGUGGCGGACGGGUGAGUAACGCGUGAACAAUCUGCCCCGUACAAAGGGAUAGCCUCGGGAAACCGGGAUUAAAACCAUAUAACACUUAACUGCCGCAUGGUAGUGAAGUCAAAUCGAGUAAGAGGUAUGGGAUGAGUUCGCGUCUGAUUAGCUAGUUGGUGAGGUAAGGGCUCACCAAGGCGACGAUCAGUAGCCGGCCUGAGAGGGUGAACGGCCACACUGGAACUGAGACACGGUCCAGACUCCUACGGGAGGCAGCAGUGGGGAAUAUUGCACAAUGGAGGGAACUCUGAUGCAGCGACGCCGCGUGAGUGAAGAAGGUCUUCGGAUCGUAAAACUCUGUCCUUGGUGAAGAAAAGGACGGUAGCCAAGGAGGAAGCCCCGGCUAACUACGUG